AUGGCUCUGAGGCGCGUUCUCCCGGCGCUGCACCCCUACGUUCCCCGCUUCGCCUAGGUGUCCGCGGCGCCGGCCGUCGGCUAGCAGCCCGCCGCGGGCCCAGGGGCCGUGCCGGGACGUGGGUCAGCCAAGGCAGUGCGACCACCGGUGCCCGCCGUGGACUUCGGCAGCGCGCAGAAGGCGUACCGCAGCCGGCGAACCUGGGAGCUGGCGCGCAGCCUGCUGGUGCUGCGCUUGUGCGCCUGGCCCGCGCUGCUGGCGCGCCACGAGCAGGACCUCCAGAGCGCCAUGUGCGGGGACUUCAUGGAUGGGGUGGGGUGGGGCCAGGAGCCUGCUGUGGGCUGGCCAGGCGUGGACACCAAGCUGGAGGUGGCGGCGCUGCAGGAAAGUGUUGCAAAGAUGGGCAUCGCAUCCAGGGCUGAGAUUGAGGACUGGUUCAUGGCGGAGACCCCGGGAGUGUCUGGGACCAUGGACCUGCUGGACUGGGGCAGCCUCAUCGACAGCAGGACCAAGCUCUCCAAGCACCUGGUCGUCCCCAACGCACAGACAGGACAGCUGGAGCCCCUGCUGUCCCGGUUCACUGAGGAGGAGGAGCUACAGAUGACGAGGAUGCUACAGUGGAUGGAUGUCCUGGCCAAGAAAGCCACAGAGGUGGGCGUGCGGCUGAUGGUGGACGCUGAGCAGACCUACUUCUAACCGGCCAUCAGCCGCCUGACGCUGGAGAUGCAGCGCAAGUUCAAUGUGGAGAAGCCGCUCAUCUUCAACACGUACCAGUGCUACCUCAAGGAUGCCUGUGACAAUGUGACCCUGGGCGUGGAGCUGGCUCGCCGUGAGUGCUGAUGUUUUGGGGCCAAGCUGGUGCGGGGCACAUACCUGGCCCAGGAGCGAGCCCGUGCAGCAGAGAUCGGCUAUGAGGACCCCAUCAACCCCACGUACGAGGCCACCAACGCCAUGUACCACAGGUGCCUGGACUACGUGCUGGAGGAGCUGAAGCACAACGCCAAGGCCAAGGUGAUGGUGGCCUCCCACAAUGAGGACACAGUGCGCUUCACGCUGCGCAGGAUGGAGGAGCUGUGCCUGCAUCUCACUGACCACCAGGUGUACUUUGGACAGCUGCUAGGCAUGUGUGACCAGAUCAGCUUCCCGCUGGGCCAGGCCGGCUACCCCGUGUACAAGUACGUGCCCUACGGCCCCGUGAUGGAGGUGCUGCCCUACUUGUCCCGCUGCGCCCUGGAGAACAGCAGCCUCAUGAAGGGCGCCUGUCGGGAGUGGCGGCUGCUGUGGCUGGAGCUCUUGCGGCGGCUCCGAACUGGCAGCCUCUUCCGUCGCCCUGCCUAGCACCCGCCAGCCCACCCUCGGCCUCCAGGGCCCCCCGCACCCACCCCAGGCCGUCACCACAGCUGCAGCCAACCCCAUCCUCACACAGAGUCACCUUUUUUCACUCCACACUUGCAGAGCUGCUGGAGGUGGGGUCAGGUGCCUCCCAGCCCUGCCCAGGGUCUGGGCACUCAGGUGUGGGCCGAACCCGCUACCUGCCUCGGAUAGCCGCUGGGAACGGUUGGGAACUCUCCCCGGAUGUGUAGGCCCAAGGCCCCCACCUCUGUGACCCCUAUGUCCUCGGGCCUAGAGGAUUGUUCGCCUUCUGCCAGGGCCAGCCCACACAGCCCGAGCCCCUCGGGGAGCAGAGGCCGGGCUGGGGAGGCCCUGCCUGGUCAAUAAACCACUGUUCCUGCAGCUGAGA
Molecule: RNA transcript, 1741 nt
Organism: Piliocolobus tephrosceles (Ugandan red Colobus)
Lineage: Eukaryota; Metazoa; Chordata; Mammalia; Primates; Cercopithecidae
Gene name: proline dehydrogenase 1, mitochondrial-like
Exons: 10
Source: RefSeq, a predicted model, not a curated record